UUAACACGUAGUCAACCUGCCCUGGAGACAUGGAAAACCCCGGGAAACUGGGAUUAAUCCGUGAUAGGUCGCCUCAUCUGGAAGGAGAGAUGGCUUAAAGGGGUGCGAGAGCUUCUUUCUUGCAUUCGCUCCAGGAUGGGACUGCGGCCGAUCAGGCUGUUGGCGGUGUAAUGGACCACCAAACCUGUAACCGGUACGGGCCUUGAGAGAGGGGGCCCGGAGAUGGACACUGAGAGAAGGGUCCAGGUCCUACGGGGCGCAGCAGGCGCGAAACCUUCGCAAUGCGCGAAAGCGUGACGAGGUUAAUCCGAGUGGUCCCCGCUGAGGGGAUCUUUUGUUGGCUGUAAAAAGGCCGAUGAAUAAGGGGAGGGCAAGUCUGGUGUCAGCCGCCGCGGUAAUACCAGCUCCUCGAGUGGUCGGGGCGAUUAUUGGGCCUAAAGCAUCCGUACCCGGUUCUGUAGGUCCUCUGUCAAAUCCAACGGCUUAACCGUUGGCCCGCAAAGGAUACCGCAGGACU
RNAcentral lists this ribosomal RNA (517 nucleotides) under uncultured archaeon. RNAcentral describes it as "bacterial SSU rRNA". It matches the Rfam family "Archaeal small subunit ribosomal RNA", at positions 93 to 593 of the family's 1478-position model. The record is from RNAcentral.